GACAAACAGAUCAAAUUAAAAUUAAUGAUAGUAAAAAAGGAGGUUAUAGAUUUAUUUCGAGAAAUAAUGCUCUUUAGAGAGGUGAAAUUUAGAUAAAGAGAGGUAAAUUGGGUUUUUCUUUUUUUGACGCCUCGAAAUUUUGUUAUGAGACCGGGAUUAGAUACCCCGUUAUUCAAAAUGUAAACUUUGAUUGUAUUUAUGAUUUACUUGAGUAUUACGAGUAUAAAAGAUUUGUCUUAUAUAUUUCUUAAAACUCAAAAAACUUGGCGGUGCCUAUAUCCUUCCAGGGGAACCUGUCCUAUAAUCGAUAGUCCUCGAUUUAACUUUCUUUCUUUUGAAUUUUGUUAUCAGCUUGUAUACCGUCGUCGUCAGGUUACCUUUAAGAGUUAUGAAGUUAUCAGUGAGAACUAGGAGAAAUUUAAAUUUAUAUACUAUAUAAGUUAUGAAUUGAUUUAUGUGAGUUCUAGACGUCAGAUCAAGGUGCAGCUUAUAGGGAAGUAGAGAUGGGUUACAAUAAUGAAUUAUUAUACGAAUUUUUGUUGUAAGUAGCAAAAUUGAAGGAGGACUUGGAAGUAAUUGGUUUAAAGAUAAGAGAGCUUAGAUGAA
Molecule: ribosomal RNA, 606 nt
Filed under: Bathymophila sp. 20 LS-2016
Lineage: Eukaryota; Metazoa; Mollusca; Gastropoda; Trochida; Solariellidae
Description: partial 12S ribosomal RNA
Source: RNAcentral